RNAcentral lists this ribosomal RNA (501 nucleotides) under uncultured Flavobacteriaceae bacterium. RNAcentral describes it as "bacterial SSU rRNA". It matches the Rfam family "Bacterial small subunit ribosomal RNA", at positions 544 to 1050 of the family's 1533-position model. The record is from RNAcentral. Lineage: Bacteria; Pseudomonadati; Bacteroidota; Flavobacteriia; Flavobacteriales; Flavobacteriaceae.
UCCGGAAUCAUUGGGUUUAAAGGGUCCGUAGGCGGGCUAUUAAGUCAGAGGUGAAAUUGUGCAGCUCAACUGUAGAACUGCCUUUGAUACUGAUAGUCUUGAGUUAUGGUGAGGUAGCCGGAACAUGUGGUGUAGCGGUGAAAUGCAUAGAUAUCACAUAGAACGCCGAUUGCGAAGGCAGGUUACCAACCAUAUACUGACGCUGAUGGACGAAAGCGUGGGGAGCGAACGGGAUUAGAUACCCCGGUAGUCCACGCCGUAAACGAUGGAUACUAGCUGUUGGGUUUUCGGACUCAGCGGCCAAGCGAAAGUGAUAAGUAUCCCACCUGGGGAGUACGUUCGCAAGAAUGAAACUCAAAGGAAUUGACGGGGGCCCGCACAAGCGGUGGAGCAUGUGGUUUAAUUCGAUGAUACGCGAGGAACCUUACCAGGGCUUAAAUGGGAGAUGACAGGAGCAGAGACGCUCUUUUCUUCGGACAUCUUUCAAGGUGCUGCAUGGUU